This 70-nucleotide transfer RNA is filed under the name Dipodomys ordii (Ord's kangaroo rat). It matches the Rfam family "tRNA". Rfam says of the family: Transfer RNA (tRNA) molecules are approximately 80 nucleotides in length. Their secondary structure includes four short double-helical elements and three loops (D, anti-codon, and T loops). Lineage: Eukaryota; Metazoa; Chordata; Mammalia; Rodentia; Heteromyidae. The record is from Rfam by way of RNAcentral.
GGGAACGUGGCUCAGUGCCAGAGUGCUUGCCUCGCAAGCAUGAGGCCCUGGGUUCGAUUCCUCAGCACCA